Papio anubis (olive baboon) is the source of this 1595-nucleotide long non-coding RNA. NCBI's taxonomy places the organism in Eukaryota, Metazoa, Chordata, Mammalia, Primates, Cercopithecidae. The record is from Ensembl.
AUGUGGUAUAAGCAUUCCCUUGGUCUGAUUUCACCUAGAAAAUGUUGUGUCGGAGAGCAGUGGUUUGCAAACCUGCAGAUGGGGCCUUGGAACUUACGCUUGCAGAUAAUCCCUUCUCUUAAGGCCAUGAGAUCAGCUUCCGUGCAGAUUGCCUUGAUGUCAGCACCAGAGAGGUCAUCUUUAGCCACGAUCAAGUCGUCCAGGGUUACAUCAUCGGCCAGCAUCAUCCUGCUGGGUGAAUCUGAAGGAUGCGCUUCUUAGUCUUUUCAUCAGGCAGGGGGAACUCAAUCUUCCUGCUAACGCGGCCUGGUCUGAUAAGUGCUGGAUCCAAAGUUUCUAUUCGGUUUGUGGCCACGGUAUCUUUCACAUUUCCCCUAGAAUCAAAUCCAUCCAACAUGUUCAACAGUUCCAACAUUGUUUGCUGAAUUUCUCUCUCACCACCAGAAUUUGAGUCAUAUCUUUCUGUCCCAAUGGCGCCAGUUUCAUCAAUAAGCACAAUGGACGGUUCAUGUUCUUCAGGAACUUGAAACAAUUCCUGUACAAGUUUGGGCCCAUCACCUAGGUACUUCUGAAUAAGUUCAGAGCCAACCACUCUGAAGAAAGUGGCUGAGGUUUGGUUUGCUACUGCUUUGGCUAACAAGGUUUUACCCGUGCCAGGUGGACCAUAGAGAAUGACCCCCUUAGGAGGCUUUAUACCCGUCUCUUCAUGAUAUUCAGCAUGGGUGAAAGGAAGCUCCAGAGAUUCCUUAAUUUCUGGAAUUUGAUUGUCCAACCCCCCAGUAUCGGCAUAGGUCUCCUGGGGGACCUUUUCCACCUUCAUCACUGUGACCAGGGGAUGCGUGUCAUCCAUCAGCACCCCACUCACAGCAUGCACCUUGUGGUUGAGCAGGACUGAGCAGCCAGUUUCCAGCAGAUCCUUAUCUACAAAUGAAAGAAUGCUGACGUAGUGUUCUGAGCCCACAGAUGUAGACACGAUGGCGUGAUUGUCAUUGAUGAUCUCUUCCAAGGUUCCUAUUGACAUCGGGGUUCUCCUCAGAUCAUCCACUUUUGAUCUUUCCUCCUCUUGCUUUUCUUCUAAUGGUUUCAUUUAUUCCUGAUUUCUAAUGAAUUCUUCCUCCAUGAAAAGAUAGUCUUUAAUUUUCUCUAACUUCAGUAAUUUUAACCAGCACUGAGUGUGAGGUGUCACCAGUGGCAGUUUGCUGGCAACAUCUGGUCCCUUUGUUUUCUUCUUCUUUUUCCCCACUCUAGUUGGUACAGGGUGUUGAUAUUUCUUUUUCUUGUCCUUGUCAUCCUUCUUGCCACCUCCAGGACGGUGACCACCACUCUGACUUUGACCCAUCUUGCCUUGGCCACUUGAACUCAAGACUCUUAAAAAAAAAAAAAAGAAAGAAAGAAAUCCAAUUACUCUGCAAAGACUGAUUAAGCCCAGAAUCACUGAUUAUUAUGAUUAAAGUUGAGACCCUUCAAAGGUGAGGUUUAACUUUCUUUGGUGUAGAAGAAAUGUUUCAAGUAAUUGAGUUUCAGAACCUGUCAUUGCUAAACCCCUGUGAGGGGGCUUCGAUUUUGAACCUUUUAAAAACUAUUUUCAGAGGGCC